This 486-nucleotide ribosomal RNA is filed under the name uncultured bacterium. Its description in RNAcentral is "partial 16S ribosomal RNA". It matches the Rfam family "Bacterial small subunit ribosomal RNA", at positions 30 to 507 of the family's 1533-position model. The record is from RNAcentral.
AUUGAACGCUGGCGGCAUGCCUUACACAUGCAAGUCGAACGGCAGCACGGGUGCUUGCACCUGGUGGCGAGUGGCGAACGGGUGAGUAAUACAUCGGAACAUGUCCUGUAGCGGGGGAUAGCCCGGCGAAAGCCGGAUUAAUACCGCAUACGAUCUACGGAUGACAGCGGGGGACCUUCGGGCCUCGCGCUAUAGGGUUGGCCGAUGGCUGAUUAGCUAGUUGGUGGGGUAAAGGCCUACCAAGGCGACGAUCAGUAGCUGGUCUGAGAGGACGACCAGCCACACUGGGACUGAGACACGGCCCAGACUCCUACGGGAGGCAGCAGUGGGGAAUUUUGGACAAUGGGCGAAAGCCUGAUCCAGCAAUGCCGCGUGUGUGAAGAAGGCCUUCGGGUUGUAAAGCACUUUUGUCCGGAAAGAAAUCCUUGGCCCUAAUACGGUCGGGGGAUGACGGUACCGGAAGAAUAAGCACCGGCUAACUACGUG